RNAcentral lists this long non-coding RNA (184 nucleotides) under Ictidomys tridecemlineatus (thirteen-lined ground squirrel). RNAcentral's name for it is "lncRNA (ENSSTOG00000034701.1)". The record is from RNAcentral. Lineage: Eukaryota; Metazoa; Chordata; Mammalia; Rodentia; Sciuridae.
CGUCGGUGAGGGAGAGGAAGAGGACUCUGGUGUUAGCACAGCUUGGAGAGGGAAGGCCAUUCUUGCUCCUUUUAGUCCCACUGGGCGCCACGGAGUGGGGAGACGGUAAGAACGGGCGGAACCUUGCGACAGGAAAAGGGAAGGGAGGACCCUGGGCUCUCCUCGCGUCCUGUUUGUGCCUACU